UGGGGAAUAUUGGACAAUGGGGGCAACCCUGAUCCAGCAAUGCCGCGUGUGUGAAGAAGGUCUUCGGAUUGUAAAGCACUUUCGACGGGGACGAUGAUGACGGUACCCGUAGAAGAAGCCCCGGCUAACUUCGUGCCAGCAGCCGCGGUAAUACGAAGGGGGCUAGCGUUGCUCGGAAUGACUGGGCGUAAAGGGCGUGUAGGCGGUUUACACAGUCAGAUGUGAAAUCCCCGGGCUUAACCUGGGAGCUGCACUUGAUACGUGUAGACUAGAGUGUGAGAGAGGGUUGUGGAAUUCCCAGU
RNAcentral lists this ribosomal RNA (302 nucleotides) under uncultured bacterium. RNAcentral's name for it is "partial 16S ribosomal RNA". It matches the Rfam family "Bacterial small subunit ribosomal RNA", at positions 355 to 674 of the family's 1533-position model. The record is from RNAcentral.